GACGAACGCUGGCGGCGUGCCUAAUACAUGCAAGUAGAACGCUGAAGGAGGAGCUUGCUUCUCUGGAUGAGUUGCGAACGGGUGAGUAACGCGUAGGUAACCUGCCUGGUAGCGGGGGAUAACUAUUGGAAACGAUAGCUAAUACCGCAUAAGAGUAGAUGUUGCAUGACAUUUGCUUAAAAGGUGCAAUUGCAUCACUACCAGAUGGACCUGCGUUGUAUUAGCUAGUUGGUGAGGUAACGGCUCACCAAGGCAACGAUACAUAGCCGACCUGAGAGGGUGAUCGGCCACACUGGGACUGAGACACGGCCCAGACUCCUACGGGAGGCAGCAGUAGGGAAUCUUCGGCAAUGGACGGAAGUCUGACCGAGCAACGCCGCGUGAGUGAAGAAGGUUUUCGGAUCGUAAAGCUCUGUUGUAAGAGAAGAACGAGUGUGAGAG
RNAcentral lists this ribosomal RNA (441 nucleotides) under Streptococcus mitis. RNAcentral's name for it is "bacterial SSU rRNA". It matches the Rfam family "Bacterial small subunit ribosomal RNA", at positions 28 to 461 of the family's 1533-position model. The record is from RNAcentral. Lineage: Bacteria; Bacillati; Bacillota; Bacilli; Lactobacillales; Streptococcaceae.